AUGCAAGUCGAGCGGACAGAAGGAAGCUUGCUCCCGGAUGUAGCGGCGGACGGGUGAGUAACACGUGGGUAACCUGCCUGUAAGACUGGGAUAACUCCGGGAACCGGAAGCUAAUACCNGGAUAGUUCCUUGAACCGCAUGGUUCAAGGAUGAAAGACGGUUUCGGCUGUCACUUACAGAUGGACCCGCGGCGCAUAGCUAGUUGGUGAGGUAACGGCUCACCAAGGCGACGAUGCGUAGCCGACCUGAGAGGGUGAUCGGCCACACUGGGACUGAGACACGGCCCAGACUCCUACGGGAGGCAGCAGUAGGGAAUCUUCCGCAAUGGACGAAAGUCUGACGGAGCAACGCCGCGUGAGUGAUGAAGGUUUUCGGAUCGUAAAGCUCUGUUGUUAGGGAAGAACAAGUGCAAGAGUAACUGCUUGCACCUUGACGGUACCUAACCAGAAAGCCACGGCUAACUACGUGCCAGCAGCCGCGGUAAUACGUAGGUGGCAAGCGUUGUCCGGAAUUAUUGGGCGUAAAGGGCUCGCAGGCGGUUUCUUAAGUCUGAUGUGAAAGCCCCCGGCUCAACCGGGGAGGGUCAUUGGAAACUGGGAAACUUGAGUGCAGAAGAGGAGAGUGGAAUUCCACGUGUAGCGGUGAAAUGCGUAGAGAUGUGGAGGAACACCAGUGGCGAAGGCGACUCUCUGGUCUGUAACUGACGCUGAGGAGCGAAAGCGUGGGGAGCGAACAGGAUUAGAUACCCUGGUAGUCCACGCCGUAAACGAUGAGUGCUAAGUGUUAGGGGGUUUCCGCCCCUUAGUGCUGCAGCUAACGCAUUAAGCACUCCGCCUGGGGAGUACGGUCGCAAGACUGAAACUCAAAGGAAUUGACGGGGGCCCGCACAAGCGGUGGAGCAUGUGGUUUAAUUCGAAGCAACGCGAAGAACCUUACCAGGUCUUGACAUCCUCUGACAACCCUAGAGAUAGGGCUUUCCCUUCGGGGACAGAGUGACAGG
This 1000-nucleotide ribosomal RNA is filed under the name Bacillus aerius. RNAcentral's name for it is "bacterial SSU rRNA". It matches the Rfam family "Bacterial small subunit ribosomal RNA", at positions 55 to 1038 of the family's 1533-position model. Lineage: Bacteria; Bacillati; Bacillota; Bacilli; Caryophanales; Bacillaceae. The record is from RNAcentral.